This 501-nucleotide ribosomal RNA is filed under the name uncultured bacterium. Its description in RNAcentral is "bacterial SSU rRNA". It matches the Rfam family "Bacterial small subunit ribosomal RNA", at positions 19 to 518 of the family's 1533-position model. The record is from RNAcentral.
CUGGCUCAGGACGAACGCUGGCGGUAUGCUUAACACAUGCAAGUCGAACGAGACGAGAUGGAAGGAUCCUUCGGGUGACGGAAAUCUUAGAAAGUGGCGAACGGGUGAGUAACGCGUGGGUAACCUGCCCUAUGGAAAGGAAUAGCCUCGGGAAACUGGGAGUAAUGCCUUAUAAUACAUUGAAGUCGCAUGGCUUUGAUGUUAAACGCUCCGGUGCCAUAGGAUGGACCCGCGUCCCAUUAGCUAGUUGGUGAGAUAACAGCCCACCAAGGCGACGAUGGGUAACCGGUCUGAGAGGGCGAACGGUCACACUGGAACUGAGACACGGUCCAGACUCCUACGGGAGGCAGCAGUGGGGAAUAUUGCGCCAAUGGGGGAAACCCUGACGCAGCAAUACCGCGUGAGUGAAGAAGGUUUUCGGAUCGUAAAGCUCUGUUAUUGGGGAAGAAAAAAGACGGUACCCAAGAAGAAAGUCCCGGCUAACUACGUGCCAGCCGCCGC